This 892-nucleotide long non-coding RNA is filed under the name Drosophila guanche. The record is from RNAcentral. Lineage: Eukaryota; Metazoa; Arthropoda; Insecta; Diptera; Drosophilidae.
CUGUGCAAUAAUUGGCGUAUAACAUGCAAAAUUAUUGCGUAUAUAAAGAGCUACAGAUGCGACGGUACAAGCGCAAACUAAUUUAUAACAAAAAAAGUGAAGCAAGCGAAUCAAAAAAAUGUCCAUAUGUUGUUUAAAUGUUCUUAUCAUCCUGUGGCUGGUUACGUUGGUGAAUAUAUAUUUUUCGGUACAAUAUGCAAAAAAGAAAGAUCGAUAUUUUGGACUUACAGUGCAUGGGAAAAUCAAACUACGACGUGAAAUUUGAAUCGAUUCAGAAUAUAAAGGGGGAAGAGAAAACCCUGGUGGAAUUCAAUUUGAAAAUAAUUGGACGAUAUCGAAGGAUCAAUGGAUCCAUCCUGUUUCACGUUGAUUUGGAUGAGCAUUUUGACGUAUGGAUGGAUUUCGCGAAAAUUAAGAAUGGAGAAUGGAUUCCAAUGAAUUUAAAAAUGCACACAAAGCCAUGCAAUUUUUUCAAUAACGUUUUUGAAAAAUAUUGUAAAUCAAUGCUUAAGAACUCGAAUUUCCCCACUGGCGAUGGCGUGUGCCCGAUAAACAAGGGUGAUUAUUAUCUCAAAAAUAGUUUCUUGUCCACUGACUAUUUGCCAACGUCCAUAAUGAAAGGGCUCAGCAAAUGCACUUUUACAAUUAGAGAAGAUGGAAAAAUUGUAGGUGGACUUGAAGUGGUAUUGACUUUAUUUGAACGCAGCACUUGAGCAACCAGAGUAUUGGAGGAAUCCUCAAACAAAAACCCUCAACUUCCGAUCCAAACAAAAACAAAACAGAAGUACAAAAUUGGAGAACUCUUUGAAUUGGAUAAGACUAUUUGUGUAUAGAAUUUUUGAGCUAAUAUAUGAAAUAUUCAGUGUUCAAUUUGCUGGUUAUUAAAUUUAUA